CGGACGUUCUGAUUCUGCCCUUUGCACUUUGGACUUUGACGCGAGCGGACCUCACCUGUGAACCCUCCUGUGAACCCAGACCUGUGAAGGAAACUCUGAGACUUUUGCACUGCUUGAGACUUUUUGUUGGAAACUAAACUUGUUGGCGAACCGAACUACACGAGAUCCGGACUACGAGAGACCCGAGACCCCGAGGAAGGCCCUCCGACGACCGAGAGCCGAGGACCAGCCCCUGCUGAAGCGACCGGGCUGUGAUUUGGACCAUAAGCUCCUGACUUCCUGUUUCGUGGACCACCGAGAAGCCGGAGAAUGGUGGACCACUCGUACGCGCGGCCGGGAGCUGGUGCCGACGACGUUGGAGCUCCCCAGCCCCCGCCCCCGGGAGGUAACGUUGCACAAUAUCAGUUUAAC
This is a long non-coding RNA of Pseudoliparis swirei, 411 nucleotides long. RefSeq lists it as uncharacterized. The record is from RefSeq and is a predicted model, not a curated record. The transcript is spliced from 3 exons. NCBI's taxonomy places the organism in Eukaryota, Metazoa, Chordata, Actinopteri, Perciformes, Liparidae.